RNAcentral lists this transfer RNA (69 nucleotides) under Schistocephalus solidus. It matches the Rfam family "tRNA". Rfam says of the family: Transfer RNA (tRNA) molecules are approximately 80 nucleotides in length. Their secondary structure includes four short double-helical elements and three loops (D, anti-codon, and T loops). The record is from Rfam by way of RNAcentral. Lineage: Eukaryota; Metazoa; Platyhelminthes; Cestoda; Diphyllobothriidea; Diphyllobothriidae.
AAGCCUGUGGCUCAAUGGUAGAGCGUUCGAUUUAAAUACCAAAGGUCGAGGGUUCAAAUCCCAGGUGUU